Molecule: long non-coding RNA, 2425 nt
Organism: Antechinus flavipes (yellow-footed antechinus)
Lineage: Eukaryota; Metazoa; Chordata; Mammalia; Dasyuromorphia; Dasyuridae
Exons: 3
Source: RefSeq, a predicted model, not a curated record
CUAUUUGCAAAAACCAGUUUCCUCAUUCUGAAUUUAAUUAAAACUUCUGUUUCUGUCCUGAUUCUCCUGUAUCUAGUCUGCUUUUGCAAUGCUGGCCACCCACAGGUUGAACUGGUUCCAAUCCAGAAAAAUACAGAAAGCUUGGGAAGAUUUAUAUGAAAUUAUGCAAAGUAAAGUUAGAAGAAUCAAAAGAACAUUGUAGACAGUAACAGCAAUAUUGUAAAGAAGUUCAAAUUGUAAAAGACUUAGUUAUUCUGAUCAAGACAAAGAUCCAAGACAAUUCCAAAUGACCUAAAAUGAAAAAUACGAUCCAUCUCCAGAGAGAGAACUGAUGCAGACUGAAGCAUACAUGUCUGGGCUUAGAGAUGAUUUUGUGCAUUCAAGAGAUCUGGAGGUCCUGGUUGCUUUUGAUUGGAGCUACCUGGCAGCCUAGGGAAGAUGCCUGGGUCCUAUUGCUAUGAUGUUGCUCCUUGGAUAAUGGCUUUAGGAAGGAUGCUGGAAGUAGGAUUAAUGCUCUGGGGAAGAAGACACUAUUUUUCCUGAGGCUUUGGGACUUUCUUUUCUAUAGGUAUUAUUGGUGGUAGAGACAGGUGGCACCCUGUUUCCACAGGAUUGCUCCCUUGGGUUGGAUUAAGUGAUCUUUAGAGAUCAUUAAUACAUCUUAUGGCCCCUUUAAACUCUAAAUCUUCUGCCUAUGACUGAGGAUAGUGGCUGUGGAAUAUGUGAGAACACAGGAAACUAGUGAAAGAAGUAGCAAUAUGGAUCCAAUGGUCACCAAUAACAGAGGGCAGUAGUCCCAUAAUGGAGGAAAUGAGUGACUGCAAUGGAUCCCUGGUACAGAAGAAAAUUUUCAUCUGAAACAUAAAAUAGUUAUGGAAGUCUCAGCUUUAAACAUCUCCAAGUCACCACCACCCUAUCCCACCCAGACAGUCCUGACUUGGACAAAUAGGAAAAUUUUUCUUGGUCUCCAUGUCUUAAUUAAAUUCAACAUUUUAUUUAAAAGUUCAUUAAGAAGGGGCAGCUAGGUGGUGAAGUGGAUAGAGCACCAGCCCUGAAGUCAGGAGGACCUGAGUUCAAAUAUGAUCUCAGACACUUAACAUUUCCUAGCUGUUUUGACCCUGGGCAAGUAUUUAACCCUAAUUGCCUCAGGAAAAAAAAAAUUAAAUUAAAUUAAAAUAAAUAAAUAAAAAGAAAAAAGAAAAGCACUAAGUAGCACACUGUACUUAAUAACAGCAACAUUGUGUGAUAAUCAGCUAUGAGGGACUUACAUUUUCUCAGCAUACAAUGUUCCAAAAGACUCAUAAUGGAAAUUGUUAUCCAGAUCCAAAGAACCAUGAAGUCUGAAUAUAGAUCAAAGCAUACUAUUUUCACUUUUUUGGUUUAGUUUUUUUUUUCUCCUAGUUUUUCUUUUUAGUUCUGAUCUUUCAUAAAAUGACUAAAAUGGAAACAUUUGAAGUAAUUGUACUUCCAUAACCCAUAUCAAAUUGUUGUCAUGGGGAGGGGGGAGGGAGGUAAGGGAAGGAGGAAGAAAAACUUUAAAACUCAAAAUCUUACAAAAGUGAAUGUUGAAAGCUAUCUUUUCAGGUAAUUGGAAAAAUGAAAUCCUAUUGAGGAAAAAAAAAACUACUGUGUACUAUUUAAGGUAUUAUGGUUGAUGCAAGAAUAUUAAGACCCUUCCUUAAGAAGUUUACAUUCAAAGCCUACAGAAACCUCGGUAGUGACUGUUUCUCGAGUACAAUAUAUCUUUUGAAUAGUCAUUCGGCCUUUUUAGUUAACUAGAUGACCCAGAAGGUAAGAGUGCUGGGUCUGGAGUUAGGAAGACGAAUUCCAAUGUAGCAUCAAAGACUUACUAGCUCUGAGACUCUGGGCAAGUCACUUAGUAGUCCUGUUUGCCUCAGUUUCCUCACCUGUAAAAAGAGGAUGAUAAAACCUAGAUUGUUGUGAGUAUUAAAAGAGAUAACUAUAAAGUGUUUAGCCCAGUUCAUUUCUAGGCAUUUAAUAAUACUUGUUUCUUUCUUUUCUUUCUUUGUUUCAUGACAUCCAGUGAGAAGGAACCUACUGUGUCCUGAGAGUAGCCUAUUCUCAUUUUUAGAUGGAGCUAAGAUUUUUCUUACCUUAAGCUUAAAUAUGCAGAUUUUAGACUUAUAACCAUUGUCUCUAGGUCUCCCGUGGGGAGCCAAGCAGAAUGAGCCUCAUCCUUCAACCACUAACAGCACACACUGUAGUAGAGAGAGAACUGAGUCUGAAAUUAGGAAAAUCUGAGUUAAAAUCUGGCAUCAAGUUCUGACUAGCUAUGAGACCCUGGACAAAUCAUUUAAUAGCUGUUUGCAAAAAUUUCCUCAUCAGUAAAAUGAAGAUAACAAUCAUACCUACCACCCAGAGUAUCUAUGAGGAUCAAAUGAAAUAAAUAUUUAAAAGUACUUAA